UCCAAAGCAUUCAUGUUGUGGAGACUGAGGUCAAGCAACUUCUAACAAAUUGGUUUCCAAUGAUCUCACUGAGAGAACUCGUCUCAAAGACUAAAGUGGCCAGCAGUAAUGGACAUACACAGCACUGAUCUCUGGUCUUGACAAGUCAUGUAUAGAUUGACAGUGAACAGGAGAAGCAUGGUUAGUCAAGCAAACCUCACUUCCAGCUGCUAGACUCAGCUCCUGUC
Molecule: long non-coding RNA, 227 nt
Organism: Microtus ochrogaster (prairie vole)
Lineage: Eukaryota; Metazoa; Chordata; Mammalia; Rodentia; Cricetidae
Source: RefSeq, a predicted model, not a curated record